RNAcentral lists this ribosomal RNA (595 nucleotides) under uncultured Bacteroidota bacterium. RNAcentral describes it as "bacterial SSU rRNA". It matches the Rfam family "Bacterial small subunit ribosomal RNA", at positions 122 to 715 of the family's 1533-position model. Lineage: Bacteria; Pseudomonadati; Bacteroidota. The record is from RNAcentral.
CAACCUGCCGUCUACUCUUGGACAGCCUUCUGAAAGGAAGAUUAAUACAAGAUGGCAUCAUGAGUUCACAUGUUCACAUGAUUAAAGGUAUUCCGGUAGACGAUGGGGAUGCGUUCCAUUAGAUAGUAGGCGGGGUAACGGUCCACCUAGUCUUCGAUGGAUAGGGGUUCUGAGAGGAAGGUCCCCCACAUUGGAACUGAGACACGGUCCAAACUCCUACGGGAGGCAGCAGUGAGGAAUAUUGGUCAAUGGGCGAGAGCCUGAACCAGCCAAGUAGCGUGAAGGAUGACUGCCCUAUGGGUUGUAAACUUCUUUUAUAAAGGAAUAAAGUCGGGUAUGUAUACCCGUUUGCAUGUACUUUAUGAAUAAGGAUCGGCUAACUCCGUGCCAGCAGCCGCGGUAAUACGGAGGAUCCGAGCGUUAUCCGGAUUUAUUGGGUUUAAAGGGAGCGUAGAUGGAUGUUUAAGUCAGUUGUGAAAGUUUGCGGCUCAACCGUAAAAUUGCAGUUGAUACUGGAUAUCUUGAGUGCAGUUGAGGCAGGCGGAAUUCGUGGUGUAGCGGUGAAAUGCUUAGAUAUCACGAAGAACUCCGAUUG